Molecule: ribosomal RNA, 265 nt
Filed under: Paenibacillus agri
Lineage: Bacteria; Bacillati; Bacillota; Bacilli; Caryophanales; Paenibacillaceae
Description: Bacterial large subunit ribosomal RNA
Rfam family: Bacterial large subunit ribosomal RNA
Source: Rfam by way of RNAcentral
ACCCGAAGCUAUGAACCGAAGCCCCAGUAAACGGCGGCCGUAACUAUAACGGUCCUAAGGUAGCGAAAUUCCUUGUCAGGUAAAUUCUGACCCGCACGAAUGGCGUAACGACUUGGGCGCUGUCUCAACGAGAGAUCCGGUGAAAUUUUAAUACCUGUGAAGAUGCAGGUUACCCGCGACAAGACGGAAAGACCCCAUGGAGCUUUACUGCAGCUUGAUAUUGAAUUUGGGUACGAUCUGUACAGGAUAGGUGGGAGCCGUAGAG